This 328-nucleotide unclassified non-coding RNA is filed under the name soil metagenome. RNAcentral describes it as "partial contains 5.8S ribosomal RNA, internal transcribed spacer 2, and large subunit ribosomal RNA". The stretch from base 1 to 119 matches the Rfam family "5.8S ribosomal RNA", at positions 35 to 154 of the family's 154-position model. The record is from RNAcentral.
GAUGAAGAACCAGUGAAAUGCGAUAAGUAAUGUGAAUUGCAGAAUUCAGUGAAUCAUCGAAUCUUUGAACGCACAUUGCGCCCCUUGGUAUUCCGAGGGGCAUGCCUGUUCGAGCGUCAUUAUAACCCCUCAAGCUCAGCUUGGUGUUGGGGCCUGCUGCACUGGCAGCCCUUAAAAUCAGUGGCGGCGCCGUCUGGCUCUAAGCGUAGUAAUUCUUCUCGCUAUGGAGUCCUGGUGGAUGCUUGCCAUCAACCCCCAAUUUUUCUAUGGUUGACCUCGGAUCAGGUAGGGAUACCCGCUGAACUUAAGCAUAUCAAUAAGCGGAGGA